RNAcentral lists this transfer RNA (62 nucleotides) under Rhodococcus (subgen. Prescottella) equi. RNAcentral's name for it is "Rhodococcus hoagii tRNA-OTHER". The record is from RNAcentral. Lineage: Bacteria; Bacillati; Actinomycetota; Actinomycetes; Mycobacteriales; Nocardiaceae.
GAGUGCGCAGCUAUUGGUAGAGCGACCGCUAGCCGGUGCAGGUUCGACUCCUGCCGCACUCG